RNAcentral lists this ribosomal RNA (440 nucleotides) under uncultured bacterium. RNAcentral describes it as "partial 16S ribosomal RNA". It matches the Rfam family "Bacterial small subunit ribosomal RNA", at positions 338 to 795 of the family's 1533-position model. The record is from RNAcentral.
CCUACGGGUGGCAGCAGUGGGGAAUAUUGCACAAUGGGGGAGACCCUGAUGCAGCAACGCCGCGUGAGUGAGGAAGGUUUUCGGUAUGUAAAGCUCUAUCAGCAGGGAAGAAGAUGACGGUACCUGAGUAAGAAGGCCCGGCUCACUACGUGCCAGCAGCCGCGGUAAUACGUAGGGGGCAAGCGUUAUACGGAUUUACUGGGUGUAAAGUGGGCGUAGACGGUUGCGCAAGUCUGAAGUGAAAGCCCGGGGGUCAAGCCCGGGCCUGCUUUGGAAACUGGGUGGCUAGAGUGCGGGAGAGGCAAGCGGAAUUCGUAGUGUAGCGGUGAAAUGCGUAGAGAUUAGGAAGAACACCAGUUGCGAAGGCGGCAUGCUGGACAGUAACUGACGUUGAGGCACGAAAGCGUGGGAAGCGAACAGGAUUAGAUACCCUGGUAGUC